RNAcentral lists this ribosomal RNA (240 nucleotides) under uncultured bacterium. RNAcentral describes it as "partial 16S ribosomal RNA". It matches the Rfam family "Bacterial small subunit ribosomal RNA", at positions 15 to 252 of the family's 1533-position model. The record is from RNAcentral.
GAUCUGGCUCAGGAUGAACGCUAGCGGCAGGCUUAACACAUGCAAGUCGAGGGGCAGCGCGGGAUAGCAAUAUCCUGGCGGCGACCGGCGGAAGGGUGCGUAACGCGUGAGCGACAUGCCCGUUGCCCGGGGACAACCGGUGGAAACGCCGACUAAUCCCCGAUGGGAUAUUGUGCCGCAUGGCACGAUAUUGAAAGUUACGGCGGCGACGGAUUGGCUCGCGUCCGAUUAGCUUGUUGG